AACCCUGUAGGUUAAUUAAACUACAUAAUUUGCUUUUAUGUGAUAGGGGGUUG
RNAcentral lists this transfer RNA (53 nucleotides) under Echinorhynchus gadi. Its description in RNAcentral is "tRNA-Ala". Lineage: Eukaryota; Metazoa; Acanthocephala; Palaeacanthocephala; Echinorhynchida; Echinorhynchidae. RNAcentral also lists the same sequence under 1 other name. The record is from RNAcentral.